Non-coding RNA from Salvia hispanica, 1224 nucleotides. Lineage: Eukaryota; Viridiplantae; Streptophyta; Magnoliopsida; Lamiales; Lamiaceae. The record is from RefSeq and is a predicted model, not a curated record.
AAGACCGAGACAAAAUAUAAUUGAAAUUCUAAUGAUGAUCAUUGUUCAUUCAAUUUAAGUUACCUUCGCCUUCCUUUUGUUUGUGUUCUCUAUCUAUGGCGAUGUAGUAUUUCUGAAAGUGAAGCUUUUAUGUAGUAUUAACUUUUUUACUUGAAGUGUCGAAUUUUCCCAGUUUUCAGAUGUUAUUUUUGAAUCUGGCAACUUUUAUGCGGAACAGAGCAGUAUGAUUCAUGAAUCCGUGGAGAGGGAAAAUGCUCACAAUCGUACAAUUGCAAUGUGGGGAUUUUCACUCCUGGACUAGAUAAAUGGUGGUCUGAUCUGAAUGUUUAUGGAUGUGUUGAGUGAGGGAGCUUUCAUCACUGGCUCAGGAACAGAUGGAGAUGAACACAGUGAUUGCAGAAAAUGCAGACCACAUACAUCCUACAUAUGAUACAACUGUGGAGGUAGAUGUGCGAACAAUCAGUAAUAGAUAUAGCAAAUUAGAAAGGAAGGAAAUGUAUGUUAAGACUGGAUAUAUCUGAAGAAAAGUUUCUCCACUACUUUUGGGAAUGUUGGAACCAGCUGAAGAAAUUUUUGUUAUCAGCAGAAUAUCACAUAUGAUUACUUGCCUACGCCUCCAUUUUUCCAGUUUCUUACUGUAUUGGCCUUCAAAAAAGGAUAAUUUUGUGAUAAGGUAGAUGUUGCUAUCAUUGAAGUUGUCCUUGGGGGUCAGGGACUCAACAAAUGCUAUCAAGAAUCCUGUUGUCUGUGGUGUAAGGCCGCUGGGCAUGGACCAUAUGGAAAUGCUCGCUUCGGCCUUAUUCAUUUCAUAUUCAUUGUCCAUCUGUUUGUUCACACAUAGCCAUCACCUUAUGUGUAUUCACAAUGACUUGCAGGAGAUCAGAUUGCUUCUCACAAAGCUGGAAUCUUAAAGUUUAUUCUGAAACGGGUUGUUGAUGGAUUCUCUGCUCCGUAAGCCUCGCGUUCCUGCAUUCACGUACCACAACUAUCUGAAGCAAUGGAUUUUCUUCAAGAAAAGGCGAGGGAUUUGAUGUUGUACUUGUUGAUACCUGUGCAUUGUCGGAGACACAAUCAGAUCUUCCAUUUGAUCAGUAUAUCUAUGUGACUAUGUGCAUACAUAUGAACCUUACUUGUAUUCAGGCACACAUUUGCGAAAGCCAUUUUCGUUCUGGCAUCUCGACUUACAUGAAGGUGACUUCUGCCUCCUCCUUUCUUCAGGGAUAC